CACCACAUAUGUCAACCAAUUCCCAAAAAAAAACCAAAAUUCAGCAAAUUUAUCUGUGAACAUGAUUUUAGGCAUUUGCAGCACGUAGCUGACAACCGAAAUCAGGAGAGUAAAUAAAUAAAAUAUUUAUAUACGUAGGGAUAUACGGAGCCCCUCCACAGCCCACAGAAUCAAACGCCAGCCGGAAUUGACUAGGACGUUUCCUAAAUGAUUUCUUCCUGGUUAUGUCAACAGGGAUUCGCCGGCCUCCCUAAUUGCCAAGUAUUCAUCACACGUGCGUCCAUGCGAGUAAACGUGACAGAUGCCUGGCCAUUUAUGUACAAGGAGUUUAAUCGAAAAGCAGGGGAAAUAAGGAGAAACCUUGCUGGGUUUUUGACGGGCCACCAAUCGUAAUGCUUUUUCCUUGCUCAAUCUUUGGGGAAAGACCAAGGACAAGGAGGUGAAAUGAAAUAAAAACGGGUGGCUAGCAUAGUGGAAAGAUUUUAGCCCAGUUGCUUGCCAGAAAAGUAGAAACGGAGCUCCAGGAGAAGAUUGCUCCUGCUAGCAUUUAGAUAACUUGGCAAGUAUCUCGACUCAAACGUUGAAUUAUGGGCAAGAACUUGGGCUUGGGAUCCGGUUCCUAGGAUAUCUGCAAUAUAUUUGCCAUUAUCCGAUGAGCAGCUGGGUCAAAAUGCAUUCAUUUAUAGAUGUCAGGGAAAAAUCGACAGAGCUUGGGAUAAUCCCCCUCGAGGAGACUCAGACUCUGACUCCGCCGUCCACUCCACGACCUAUUUGAUUCCGGGUAAGCGGCUUAUCCGGAAAACAGCAAAUGGGAUGAUGUACGACCAAGUGGAGCUCAUAAACUUUGCGGGCGUCGCUGCAAAUCCAUUUGCAACCUUGUUUACGCUGCGUAUGGGUAACAAAUCAACGGAGCGACUAGCACGGCGCACUACUCGGUAUUACAGAGUGCAACCGCAAGCAAAAUGCCUGAUUGGCAACAUAAAUCAGAGAGGACAGGCACUGCCGCAGCCGCAGCCACAACACCUGCCCCGCCCCCUUUUCGUUACGCCCCAAUCCGCCUGACAGCCCGACAGUUGCAAUGCCCGCAAAAUAGUAUCCCAAAAAAACCCCCGAAAAACAACAAGAAAGGCGAGCGGGCAUCAUAUACCAAAGCAUGAAAUA
Molecule: long non-coding RNA, 1161 nt
Organism: Drosophila subpulchrella
Lineage: Eukaryota; Metazoa; Arthropoda; Insecta; Diptera; Drosophilidae
Exons: 3
Source: RefSeq, a predicted model, not a curated record